AGGCCCCAUAAAUAGCAGCAGAGCCGGAGCUGGAGCCGGCGCCAGCGGCUGGAGCAGCAAGGGAGUCAGGGCCAGGGCCAGAGAUCCGGAGAGAGGAGCCCCCGACCGAGAGCCCAGGUAGAGCGCACAGAGGUGCUUCGCUCCUGUUCCAGCCCUGUCUUCUCCCGGGUGCUGGCCCUUGAGUAUUUUUUUGAGGAGAAGCAGCCCCUGCAGUUCCACGUGUUCGAUGCCGAGGACGGAGCCACCAGCCCCCGAAAUGAUACCUUCCUCGGCUCUACGGAGUGCACCUUGGGCCAGAUUGUGUCACAAACCAAGGUCACUAAGCCAUUAUUGCUGAAGAAUGGGAAGACUGCGGGCAAGUCCACCAUCACGGUAGGCAAGAUCACCUGUACUCACCCUUGGUCCAGGUAUUCAAUGCCCCUGCAUGGACACCUAUGGUGACAUCAUGCCCAGGACCACCCCCACCUAAGGGAAAGGGGAUGGGGUGGCCCUUGUGGUAAGGUUAGGGGAGUCCUGCCACUUGUAUCCCCCUUGCAGAUCGUGGCCGA
This 548-nucleotide small RNA is filed under the name Pan troglodytes (chimpanzee). RNAcentral describes it as "processed transcript". The record is from RNAcentral. Lineage: Eukaryota; Metazoa; Chordata; Mammalia; Primates; Hominidae.